AAGACUGGAGUGCAGAAGAGGAGAGUGGAAUUCCACGUGUGGCGGUGAAAUGCGUAGAUAUGUGGAGGAACCCCAGUGGCGAAGGCGCCUCUCUGGUCUGUAACUGACGCUGAGGCGCGAAAGCGUGGGGAGCAAACAGGAUUAGAUACCCUGGUAGUCCACGCCGUAARCGAUGAGUGCUAAGUGUUAGGGGGUUUCCGCCCCUUAGUGCUGCAGCUAACGCAUUAAGCACUCCGCCUGGGGAGUACGACCGCAAGGUUGAAACUCAAAGGCAUUGACGGGGGCCCGCACAAGCGGGGGAGCAUGUGGUUUAAUUCGAAGCAACGCGAAGAACCUUACCAGGUCUUGACAUCCUUUGACCACUCUGGAGACAGAGCUUUCCCUUCGGGGACAAAGUGACAGGUGGUGCAUGGUUGUCGUCAGCUCGUGUCGUGAGAUGUUGGGUUAAGUCCCGCAACGAGCGCAACCCUUGAUUUUAGUUGCCAGCAUUUAGUUGGGCACUCUAAAGUGACUGCCGGUGCAAGCCGGAGGAAGGUGGGGAUGACGUCAAAUCAUCAUGCCCCUUAUGACCUGGGCUACACACGUGCUACAAUGGAUAGUACAAAGGGUCGCGAAGCCGCGAGGUGGAGCUAAUCCCAUAAAACUAUUCUCAGUUCGGAUUGUAGGCUGCAACUCGCCUACAUGAAGCCGGAAUCGCUAGUAAUCGUGGAUCAGCAUGCCACGGUGAAUACGUUCCCGGGCCUUGUAC
Molecule: ribosomal RNA, 748 nt
Filed under: Listeria monocytogenes
Lineage: Bacteria; Bacillati; Bacillota; Bacilli; Caryophanales; Listeriaceae
Description: bacterial SSU rRNA
Source: RNAcentral